RNAcentral lists this ribosomal RNA (433 nucleotides) under uncultured bacterium. Its description in RNAcentral is "partial 16S ribosomal RNA". It matches the Rfam family "Bacterial small subunit ribosomal RNA", at positions 29 to 507 of the family's 1533-position model. The record is from RNAcentral.
AACGAACGCUGGCGGCAUGCCUAACACAUGCAAGUCGAACGAGACCUUCGGGUCUAGUGGCGCACGGGUGCGUAACGCGUGGGAACCUACCCUUAGGUUCGGAAUAACUCCCCGAAAGGGGUGCUAAUACCGGAUAAUGUCUUCGGACCAAAGAUUUAUCGCCUUUGGAUGGGCCCGCGUUGGAUUAGCUAGUUGGUAGGGUAAAAGCCUACCAAGGCGACGAUCCAUAGCUGGUCUGAGAGGAUGAUCAGCCACACUGGGACUGAGACACGGCCCAGACUCCUACGGGAGGCAGCAGUGGGGAAUAUUGGACAGUGGGCGAAAGCCUGAUCCAGCAAUGCCGCGUGAGUGAUGAAGGCCUUAGGGUUGUAAAGCGCUUUUACCCGGGAUGAUAAUGACAGUACCGGGAGAAUAAGCUCCGGCUAACUCCGUG